GCUGAAGUGGAUUUGACUCAUUGAGGGAGACAAAUUGCGUUCGUGCCCUGUACUCCAUCAGAAGGAAGCGCUGUUGGGACUGGACAGGUCUUCGAAGCCUUGGGCACCUCAUUUGGAUCUGAAUUGCUUCAGUAGAAGUUGGAUUUGGGAGUAUCAGUGCUUCAGGACCUGUAUCCCUCUUUAGAGACAGACGAGAGCUCACAGCAAAUCAGAGCUGAUUUGUGAUUUUCUU
Molecule: long non-coding RNA, 232 nt
Filed under: Anser cygnoides (Swan goose)
Lineage: Eukaryota; Metazoa; Chordata; Aves; Anseriformes; Anatidae
Description: lncRNA (ENSACDG00005019041.1)
Source: RNAcentral